GACGUAGGAGCCAAGCGUUAUCCGAAUUCACUGGGCGUAAAGCGCGUGCAGGCGGCUUGGUAAGUUGGAUGUGAAAUCUCCUGGCUCAACUGGGAGAGGCCGUUCAAUACUGUCAGGCUAGAGGGCGACAGAGGAAAGUGGAAUUCCCGGUGUAGUGGUGAAAUGCGUAGAUAUCGGGAGGAACACCAGUGGCGAAGGCGACUUUCUGGGUCGCACCUGACGCUCAGACGCGAAAGCUAGGGGAGCGAACGGG
This 253-nucleotide ribosomal RNA is filed under the name uncultured bacterium. RNAcentral's name for it is "partial 16S ribosomal RNA". It matches the Rfam family "Bacterial small subunit ribosomal RNA", at positions 524 to 776 of the family's 1533-position model. The record is from RNAcentral.